GGGAAAACCGAUGUGGCAUGCUCUUCCCAGGCAACUGUGCUGGGACAGGGUCCCGCAAACGUCGCGGGAGAAAAACCGAAGACACGAGGUGCUCUCAGUGCGGUCCAACAGGCAUAUUUUAAAUAUAUGUCCCCAAGUCCAUGACUGAAGAAAAUUCUGGAAGGACUCCCAGGAAGUUAUUUCUUUUUUCUGCUUGCUGUGAUAUUGAGGAGAAAACGGUGAUGACAUCUUUUUGGCUGGAUGGAACUGAUGGAAGAUUUAUGGAGCAGCUGAGGACUGUCAGAGCCAGACCCAGCAGAUUUCCUGAGAGAAUGAUCAUGGCCUUUUCAUCAGCGAGCACACUGCCUUCUGAAAUGGUCUAACACGAGAGAGAGAGAGAGAGAGAGAGAGAGAGAGAGAGAGAGAGACCUAUCUAACCAGCCAUCAGUGAGGUUAUCCCUGUACCCCACAGCUGCUGCCACCCAAUCUGAAGGUUCCCGCUUCUGCCCUUGAAGUAUUUAUUGUAUGUGACCACACAGAAGUCCUAGCUGUCACCCACCGUCAAACCCCCUGGCCCCAGUCUGGGACCCAGAGCCCUCCAGGAGUGGGAAACUUCAUCCUAUACCUUCUCAGUCACAGGGAUUUCAGAAAUUAGUCACAGGAAGCAGGGAGGCCAAGAGUGGAGGCUUCCAAGAGGAGCCAGUAACAGGAUCUGGGGUCUUUCACCCCAGGUCACAGAAAGCUUAGACUGUCCCCAAGGUAGAGAUGAGUGGUCAAGGAUGGAACCGGCCUUCCCAAGGCCUCUGCCAGCAGCAAGAGCUUUGGAGAGAUGGAACCUAUAGCCAGGCAGUCAUCCCCUUACUGAGUGGUCUCUCCCGUAUCUCAAAUGCCUAUCCUAAUACUCUCAACUCUGAGAGACACACAAGGGGUUGAUUGGAGCCCAGAACGCAGCAUGUGUCUGAAACAGAGUCUUGACCUGAUUUCCAGCCCUCCCCUCAUGAAUGAACACUGAGACACCCUACAGCUCUGCUGCAUCGCAGAGCACUCUCGGACAUCCCAGAACUGUCACUCACAGACAUCUCAUGUGGACAAGACAGUAAAUGAUAAUCAGAUUCUAAAGGGAUGGAAAAGUUGUGGGAUGGUAGAGGCAGAAGGCACUGGGUUCAAUCCCCUAUAUGGAGAGAAAGAUGAUAGAUAGAUAGAUAGAUAGAUAGAUAGAUAGAUAGAUAGAUAGAUAGAUGAUAGAUAGAUAGAUCAAUCAGAGACUCACGCUAAAUAUCUACCAACAGAAAAUAGUUUAGGGCUGGUGAGAUGGCUCAGCAGUUAAGAGCACUGACUGCUUUUCCAAAGGUCCCGAGUUCAAAUCCCAGUCACCACAUGGUAGCUCACAACCCUCCAUAACGAGAUCUGAUGCCCUCUUUUGGAGUGUCUGAAAACAGUUACAGUGUAGUUACAUAUAAUAAAUAUAUC
RNAcentral lists this long non-coding RNA (1449 nucleotides) under Mus caroli (Ryukyu mouse). RNAcentral's name for it is "lncRNA (MGP_CAROLIEiJ_G0005184.1)". Lineage: Eukaryota; Metazoa; Chordata; Mammalia; Rodentia; Muridae. The record is from RNAcentral.